AAACGACUCUCGGCAACGGAUAUCUCGGCUCACGCAUCGAUGAAGAACGUAGCAAAAUGCGAUACUUGGUGUGAAUUGCAGAAUCCCGUGAACCAUCGAGUUUUUGAACGCAAGUUGCGCCCGAAGCCAUUCGGUCGAGGGCACGCCUGCCUGGGCGUCAUGU
RNAcentral lists this ribosomal RNA (163 nucleotides) under Hedypnois rhagadioloides. Its description in RNAcentral is "5.8S ribosomal RNA". It matches the Rfam family "5.8S ribosomal RNA". Rfam says of the family: 5.8S ribosomal RNA (5.8S rRNA) is a component of the large subunit of the eukaryotic ribosome. The record is from RNAcentral. Lineage: Eukaryota; Viridiplantae; Streptophyta; Magnoliopsida; Asterales; Asteraceae.